Molecule: ribosomal RNA, 446 nt
Filed under: uncultured bacterium
Lineage: Bacteria
Description: partial 16S ribosomal RNA
Rfam family: Bacterial small subunit ribosomal RNA
Source: RNAcentral
GCCAGACUCCUACGGGAGGCAGCAGUGGGGAAUAUUGCACAAUGGGGGGAACCCUGAUGCAGCGACGCCGCGUGGGUGAAGAAGCGCCUCGGCGCGUAAAGCCCUAUCGGCAGGGAAGAAGCAAGACGGUACCUGACUAAGAAGCCCCGGCUAACUACGUGCCAGCAGCCGCGGUAAUACGUAGGGGGCAAGCGUUAUCCGGAUUUACUGGGUGUAAAGGGGGCGCAGACGGCAGCGCAAGCCAGGAGUGAAAGCCCGGGGCCCAACCCCGGGACUGCUCUUGGAACUGCGCGGCUGGAGUGCAGGAGGGGCAGGCGGAAUUCCUGGUGUAGCGGUGAAAUGCGUAGAUAUCAGGAGGAACACCGGUGGCGAAGGCGGCCUGCUGGACUGCGACUGACGUUGAGGCCCGAAAGCGUGGGGAGCAAACAGGAUUAGAUACCCCCGUA